AUUUAUAUAGGGAAAAUGUUUUCCAGGAUACGAAAGUAUCCCAGGGUCAUGUGAAUGAUACAAUGGAAUCUGCCAUUGAAGCUUGUGAAUGCUAUUAUCUUUGUGGAGUGACACACGCACGUCAGGAUACUUCUUUGCUACUGACAAAGUGAUUUAUCAAAGAAGAAUGUAUAUAUUCUACUGUGUAUCAGCCUAUUCUGAUACAUACUAUAUAUUUUAUUUGUUAUAUAUCUAUAUAUCUGUUUAAUAUUAUGUAUAUAUAUUCUGUUGCAGAGAUGAAUAUGACUAUGAAGGCAUCAGUGGAACAUGAGAUAAGUAAAUCCAACCUUCUCAUUUGAGUCAUAAAAUAUAUGCUUUCUUUCCCAAAAUGAAAAAUGGGUUUUAUUUAUGGAAACAUAAGCACAAUCAUUUAAAUUUAGAUUGCUGCUUAACAAGCCCAUUUAGAUUCUGGGAAAGUCAAUGGACACAAGUAAUUUAUGAACAAUAUAAUUUGUCAAAAUCUUUUUGCUGAAGGAGAAUUCAAUCAACUGGGCUCUUAUUCCUGAAAACCAAAUGAUCUGGCCAUAUGCAUUUAUCUUCUUUCCAUCCUUUUGCAUAAUUUAAAAUCAUCCCCUUAUGAAUAAAGAUGCUGAGUAAUAUUAUCUAAUAUUUCUACAGUAUUGCAUACGUUACUAAGAACAUUGAUAUGCAUUAUCUCAUGUAAUCAUGGUGACCUCCCUUUGAAGUAGUUACUGUCCCAUUUUAUAGUUGAGGAAACUGAAAAUAAGUGAUUAAGUAACUGGCUCAAUUUCAUAUAGCUAACAAGUAGCAGGACCACAGUUAAAUUUAGGUCUUCUGGCUAUAAUUCCAAAGUUUUAGUCAUGACACUUUACUCUUGCUAUGGAAAACAUUUACUUCUAUCCAUUGGUAACAAUUAUAUUUCAAACUCUGGUAAAAAUCCAUGAAAAAAUUUUGCCAUGUAACAUUUUCCUAUGUAGCAAAUCAGCAAAACUCUGCCUUCUGGAAAAUAUAAAGCAGCUAUACUUGUUUUCCCAUAUAAAUCGAUAUUGGAAUGAUUUGGAGGACCAAGUCAAGGAAGAAAUGUGUGUCCAGGCUUUGUGA
Molecule: long non-coding RNA, 1101 nt
Filed under: Zalophus californianus (California sea lion)
Lineage: Eukaryota; Metazoa; Chordata; Mammalia; Carnivora; Otariidae
Description: lncRNA (ENSZCAG00015021315.1)
Source: RNAcentral